RNA transcript from Microplitis demolitor, 6562 nucleotides. It is a transcript of the gene named T-complex protein 1 subunit eta, with no coding region annotated. The record is from RefSeq and is a predicted model, not a curated record. Lineage: Eukaryota; Metazoa; Arthropoda; Insecta; Hymenoptera; Braconidae. The transcript is spliced from 8 exons.
ACGUGGUGUGUCACCUAUUAUCAAGUAUUUUAACUUGCCGUUCAACUAGUAUUUUUGUGUUACACAGUUGGUCUCAUAAAUAGUUGGUAAACCAAUUACUAAAUUACAAGUAUCAUCGAAGUCAAUAAUAAAUAAAUAUAAUAUUGGAGCAGUUUUGAAAACAAUAUUUUUAUACCACUUAUCAAAAUGGAGCUCAACUCUAUAAUGUUUCACCAAUCGGAUGUGAUUCUUUCAUCUAAUCUCCAACAUUAUUUGUCCUUCAUUUAUAUAUUUUUUUAUUUAUUCGAACACCUUUUUAAGAUGAAUUUUCCCAGUGACAACAAGGAAAAGUUCAGCAAAAUUAUUAAUUGGAGUUUAUUGGUUUUAUCAAUCAUUAACUCAAUAAUGCCGAGACCACUGCUUGUAUCAGAUGAGGACUCAAUAGCUGUUAUAAAAAGAUAUAUGAGCUACUUCUGUUCAGAUACCUUGCCAGCAUACUCUGCUGAGGUAUGGUCGAAAAUGUCCAAGGAACCAGAAUUUGUGGGUAAAUGGAAUACUGCAGCAGUUAGGACCAACAUAAAAGACAAUCGUAGGGGGAUUUUGACUAGAGCAAGAAAAGAAUGUGGAUAUUUUUCCCAAAUAAUUAAGAAAAAAUUCACUUAUAGUAAUAAUGAUGAUGAUGACAAUGACAGCAAUGAUAAUAAUGAUAAUGAUGACAGUGAUGAUAAUAGCGAUAAGGAUUAUUUUAAUAAACUAUAUGCUAAAGAGCGGGAUGAUGUUCCAUGUUUUCAUGUUGAAAUUGCUAGAGGUGUUUGGGAAUGUAUGUAUAAAAAAGACAAUAGUUGUAAAAAUCCUAGGUUACAGCCGAAAGUGUGGACUGACACUAUUGCCUUUGAAUUAUGGCAUCAGUUUGAACUACCGUGUGCCUUUGUAUUUAAAAAAGGCACAAUUCAUGAAAAUGGAAAUUAUUAUGCGACAUUUAUUGGCAAGUGCAAAAGUAAAGUGUGCAAUAAUCCUAUUUUUGGUUACAUCGAAAACAAUCCUGGGGACAAAGGUUCUGUUUUUAUUAAUUUUCGAUGCCGGGAUACUCGUUUUGAAGUUCAUGAUGAAGUUACAAGGCCACUGCAAGCCGAGCGAAGAAAAAUGUUUAAAACUAUGAUCGAUGCAAAUGGAGUUAAGGGAACUAUUUUGGAGCAAGCUAAAGAUCUGUUAAAACCAGGUAGUACUCAAUGUCCUGUUCUAUUCAAUUCUAAUGUUUUAUAUCAAGUAAAGAAAGAAUCUAAGGAAGAAAAGUUGAAUGUCAAGCCAGAAGAUCGGAGAGAUUUGAUUAAAGCUAUUUAUCGUAUCAACGAGGACGAUAAUCCUGCUCAUCAAAAUUUUAUAAAAGUUGUAAUUGAUACGCCUUUUUCAGUAUUUUAUGUUUCACCGCAACAAAUCCAUUGUUAUAACGAAUACAGGCGUCUUCACAGACACUAUUCUUCUGUUUGUAUUGAUGCUACAGGAGGUCUUGCAAAAAAAUUUCUAGACAGCAAAAAUAAAACUACGAGUAGUAUUUUUUUAUACCAAAUCGUAAUUAAUUUUAGUAAUACUUCACAAUCUGUUUAUCAAAUUUUAUCGGAAAUUCAUGACACUAAGACCAUCAAAUUUGGACUAGAAAACUGGCUUAGUAAAGUUUCGCCUCCGACAGAAGUAGUCUGUGAUGGAUCUCGUGUCCUUUUAAAUGCCUCCUGUUUAGCUUGCAAUAAUUUUUCUUUAUUUGAUUACGUUAAUAGGUGUUUUCAACAUGUCAAAAACGGUGCUUCACUUGACUCUGUAAAAACUUUUAUCAGAUUGGAUACGGCUCAUUUUAUUCAUGCUAUAAGUGGCUGGAAAUGUUGGAAAUCGGUUAUUCAUCCAAGAAUUAAAUCAUUUUACUUAUACAGUGUUGCAUUAUUGAUGGAUUGUAAUAAUUUAAAAGAUUUUGAAAGAAUCCUUGUAUUAAUUUUGAUUGUCUGUGGCACCGAAUAUGAUGAUUCUAUUGUUGAUUUUGAUGGCGAAAUGAUAACUACAAAAGCAGCAAGGUCAGAGUUGGAAAAAUUGAUUGCCAAAAAUGAAUCUCAAGACUUUAUUAAUAAUAUUGAAGACAAAAUUAAAACUAUGGAGUUUGAUCAAGAAAAAAAUGAAACUUUACGCCGAGAGACCAAUACUGAUUUAUUAGAAAAAGACACUACUAUUUCAAGUUGGAUAAAUAAUCUUGUCGCUUUUUCAUUGAAUGUUCAUUCUGAUGGUAGUAAUGAUAUUAAUAAUUUAAACACUUUUUAUGUACCUCUAUUUAAAGAUUCAUUACUUAAAGAAGUGAGAGAGUUUCCGCUAUGGACGAAAGUUUGUAUUCAUUACACGAGUUUACGAGCAACUUCUGCGUACAUAGAGCAAGCGUUUAAAGAAUUGAAAGAGUUAUUAGGUAAAAUGAUUUCUCUCCCUGCACGUGUUGAUUACUUAGUUAAAGCUCAUCUUAAACUUAUUGAUGGUGGUGUCAAAAUUUUUGAACGCGAAUUGUUAAAAUUCGUUAAGAAUUACCAUGCUAAUAAGCAAAAAAAUGAUAAAAUAAAUAGUAAUCCUGAAGACGAAUUAUGCAAAGAAGAUUGCGAACCUAACGAUAAUUUACUCAAUGAAAAUUGGAAUGGACAAGGAUAUGAUAUGAAGCACAACGACUGUGAUUGGUUAGAUUCAGAUUGUCAUUUAUUCAAUGAAGAUAUUCCCACCAAUUUUAAUACUGAGUCAUUUAAUUCUUCUGAAAUUGAUAAUAAUAACGUUUUAGAUAAUAUUGAUUGUAGCGCAAAUGAAAAUAACGAAAAUUUAUAUCAGCCGAAUUUAAAUAAUUUAGUUAAUCUUGAUCACAGUUAUUGUUCCGAUAAUAAUUCACCAUUGAAUGAAAACAGUUUCGAUGCCGCUGUGGAAAAAAAUUUAAGAAUGAUUAAAAAGGAAGGUAAAUACUUCAAAAGUUUUCCCGAAAUCAAUUUAAUAAACAAUUUGGCGCCUUCAAACAAAAAAGAAGAAUUUUUAUUACAAAAUGGUAAUAAAAGCGGACCUGUCUUUUUUCAAAAUGAAUCCUGGUUUGCUUUCAAUACGUGCCCAUUCGACAGUAUUGUUCAGUUGAUUUUCUAUGGAUGUUUACAAAAUGAAGAAUUUAAUAAUUUUGUUAGCAAUUCUUCAAAUUCCACUUUUAAUUUUGUUACCGAUUUUAUGUCAACAGGAUUAAAAAAAGAUAUCUAUGUUAAACGAUUUUCUAUUUUACAUCCUAUCUAUCAAGACACUGAAUGCACACAAAAUCAAAUGAAUAUUGCCAAUCGUAAAACUAAAAACGUAAAUCGUUGUAUUAAUUGUGUAGAUAACGUGAAUAGUUUGUGGAUUAAAUUAUUUACAAGUGAACCAAGUGCAUUCGAAAAUAAUUCAUGUUCAUCAUUCGGCUGCCAAGAUUAUCAACGUAAUAUACCGGUUUUGACUGCAAAUUAUAAUUUAAUCAUGGAAAAAGGGUUUAAAUGUUUGCAAGAAGCAUUACAUUUUAAAAGCAUAGCUUAUAAUAAAUUUUGCACAAGCUGCCAAAAAAAACAAACAACCUGUAAAACGACACUUAAUCGAUAUAUUUACAUUGAAUUAGACGUAAAAUCGGUAAAUGAAAAAGAUGGAACUUCAUGUAAACUUGGUGAAUUACCGAAGUGUUUGGAUUUAAAUGAAACACAUUCAUCAAAAAAAUUUAGUUAUCGCUUGACAGGGGUUAUUGGUUAUAACUCUUUUCACUACAUCACAUAUUGUAGAAACUUGACAGGAAAUUGGCGAUUCUACAAUGACCAACUAGAAAAGUCUAAAUUUAUUAGUGAACGCACGAAAAUUGUACCUCAUGGGAUUUUUUACACUUUAUUCUCACUGUAAAAAAGAAAAAUAUAUUUAUAUAUUUCAGCUUUAGCAAGUAUUUAAAAAAAUGCAAUAAGUGGAUACAAGUGAUAUUGGAAAUCUCUAUACUUCGAUUAUUAUUAAUAUUUUUGCUCAAUUACAUUUAUGAAAACUUAGUGUUAAGGUUGUUGCCAAAAGUAAUAAAAAGUCAUUAAGUGUAAAAUCUAUUUAAGUUUUACGAUUAUAAAAUAAAUAAAAUUAUUAUUAUCAUUAUUAUAUUAUGACGUAAUUUUAAAAUGUUUUAUACUACAAGAUUAAUAUGUUAAACAGAAAAAAUAAAUGUUUUAUAAUGUUAAACAAAUAAAUAAAUAAUUUCAUUUUUUUAAAUAAUGAGUAAGUUUUUUAAACAGUUAAUAAAUAGAAAUACUAAAUCUCUUUUUUUUUUAUUCAUAAAUUUGAUUCAUUUUAGACAUCAACAAAAUCGUUAAAUUAUUAUAUUUACAGGAAGCCGUAGGUCUUUGUUAAUCAUUUUUUUUAUACAAUCAAAAUUAUUUUUUAAGUUAAAUAUUACUGUUUUUGUCGUUAUUUAAAUAAUCUAUAUCAUGAUUGUUUUUUAAUUUAAAUAAUAAUUGUUGUACAGUUAAUUUGUCAUGCAUAAACGACGAACAUCGUUUGUAGAUAAUAGAGGUAUAGAGAACGAUCCAGAGGAGAUAGUAUUAUCUGAGCCUUCGAAGUGAAAGAAAAAACUGUCUUUUAUUAGGACUAAAAUAAUUCAAUAUUUUACAGAAUGAUUUGUGCCAACUAUUCUGUAAUGUUAGAAGAAAUCAAAAGUAAGAUAAGACUCAAUUAUGAGGUACUUUUAUCGGAUUAGUAAAAAACAACAAGAGCCAACUAUGAAACUGAUGUUACUUUAUUACAAAUUACAUUUAUAAUACAAAAAAAGUAUAUUACGGUUAGUUAAGUAGCUGAUGAUAUGAAUAUAAUAUUUGGAAAUGCUGUAAAAUACAAUGUUAAUUUCUAACGUUUAUGCAAGAAUAAUAUAAGGAAAAAGUUCAAGAGUUUUUAGAUUUUGACGUAAAUUUAGAUUCAGAUUAUGGAUCAGAAUUAAAAUCUCAAAAUUAAUUAGUAUAAUGAAAAUUUUAGACUCAAGAAAAAUACAAUAAAAUGAAUAGUUGAAAAAAUGUUUACUUGCAUUAGUUAAGUGUUAACAUUUAUGAAAAAACCAUAGAUGUAAAUAUAUAUCCCGAUUAUUUUAUCAUGCACAAGCUGCUAAUACAACAAUCAAAUGAUAAAUAUCACCUGCUAUAAAUUAUGUUAGUAAGUGUUAAUUUAAAAUUAUAUGCAUAUAUAAAUCUUAUCGAUCUAAUCAAUAAAGAACAUUAAACUGUAUUAGCUUUUGCUUUUAUUCGUUUUUUAUGCUGAUACAUUUCUGUUUUAUUCUGGUUUGAAUCUGGGAAAAUAAUCAUAUAAAAGUAACGACCACGUGGUAACCAUAACCUAUGCAGCGGAUAAUUUGAUCAUAAGUAAAAAAAUAAUUUGUAUUAAAAAAAAAAAAAAAACACAUCAUUUUGAUCAUAAUAAGUAAAAGAUUUUUGCAUUAAUUAUGUCAGUUAGAAAAAAAGACCUUCAUUGAUAUUUUAAUUUAUUAUCUAGCUGUCAAUCAACUACUAAGAAUUUCAUUCAGGGUUUUUAAUUACUAACAUUCCUUUCUGAUACUAAGUUGAUUUUUAAUAAUUUUGAAUACUUCUUGUUUAAAAUUAUGCAUUAAAGUUUACAUGAAUAAACUGUUUAAGUUAUAGGCGUCGUUACACUCCUGUCUAACAUUUAAUGUAUUAAUUAAUUUUCAUUGCACAAGUGCAUGACUCAAUAUUUGAAAAUUUCAAUUAAAAUAAUUUUUUUAUAAAAGUUUCAAUAACAAUAGGUACAAUAUCUAUAUAAAUAGCUAAAUUUUGAAUUGGAAAAAUAUUUCAUUUAUUACUAAGUAAACCACGUGGCUACCAUAACCAAUGCGAUUUCGUAUUUAAUUAUUUAAAAUUAAAUAAUUUCAGAUUGAAAUACUUGAUAAUUAAUUAGACUAUUGUGAAUAAAAUAUUUUUACAUAAAUUAUUUUUUUUUAAAGAAUUGUGCAUUCUUUGAUAUUUUAAUGUUUCCAUUGUUAUCUAGUGUCUUACAUUAUUAAAGAUAAAUUAAUUUUAUUAAUAAUUAAAAAUCUAAUUCUUUGGAGUCGCUCGUUAUUCUUACCUGGAAAUUUAACUAUGUAGAGCACCUAUGUAUAUGUAAAAUAUAUAUUAUAGGGGGUCUUUUGAGUGGGCUUUUGUAAAUAAUUUAGGUUUUUUCAUUGUUAUUUGUACUUCAUAAAACUUCAAAUACAUUUUUAAUGAACUGAUCCACUUUCUAUAAAUGCAGUAAAGAUAAUAAUCAAGUAAUAUAGCUGAGGAUCAAUGACGAAGAAACUAUAAAAAUUGAUUAUACUAAAGUCUUAAAAUUUAAUAACUAUCACCAACACAAUAUGAUUUGAUCAUCAAUGACAUUUUUUAUACCAAUAGAUUUAAUUUUGACGUCACGCAUAAUAUAAAAUGUGGACAUUUUCAUCAUCUAAAAUAUAAGUAAAUAUUAUUAUUAUAACAAUAGAAUGUAAAUUGAUAUAAAUUUGUAUCGAUAAUAAAUUGCAAAAAACCAUUAUAAGAAACCAUAUUAUAUGAAUAUAUACAUA